This 654-nucleotide ribosomal RNA is filed under the name Triticum aestivum (bread wheat). Its description in RNAcentral is "partial small subunit ribosomal RNA". Lineage: Eukaryota; Viridiplantae; Streptophyta; Magnoliopsida; Poales; Poaceae. The record is from RNAcentral.
AUGACCAGGGAUAACCUUAGGAAAAGGCACAUCAUCAAACCCUUGGACUGUGUGUUCUGUGCUGAGAAUGAAACCAGCCUCCAUUUGUUUUUUGAAUGUGUAGUAGCUAAGAACAUUUGGCCUUUCAUUGGAGAUUUCUUCAAAAUUCAGAUAGGCAUGAACUUUGAGUCUGUUGCACGGCUUUGGGUUACUAAUAAGAAGAAGAAUUCGGCUUUGAAUAUUGUUACUUCUGCAGUCCUAUGGUGUUUGUGGAAAUAUAGAAACUCUAUAAUUUUUAACAACACCAUUUGGACUUCCAUUUUUCAGGUUUGGGGCUUGUUGAUCAGAAUGCUCAAAUUCUGGUCUAUCCUAUCGCCGGAAGCGGAGAGAGCAAAACUGGAGAGUUUCCUGAGCUCACCGACAAGUUUGGCUCGGCAACCUCUGAGAAUCCGGAGUGGCCGAUGGAGAAAGAUGAUGUUGGAGCGCGCUGGAGCAAGCUCAAAAUCACGGAGGAGGAUGCCAGUUUCCAAUCCCCUUCCAAGAAAAGGGAUCCGUCGAGCAAAAACACCAUGUGCAGCCCUAUGUCGACACUCACGCCAUGCUAGUCACCACAAGCUGCCCUGGCGCCACCCUUCAAAUUUAGGAAAUUGGGAAACCCUGGACAGGACGCGAUGA